CUACAGCCCGUGCUCCUCCCAUUGAUGUGGGUGCACGCAGACUUUGCAGGGUCCAAGCUCUGCAUUUUAGUACUCAUUUUGAAUGAGUUUUCUUUAAAUCACGUUUAUUUUCGAUGUUGGCUUUCUCGGGACCGCAUUCAGGAUCUGAGCUUUCUGCAGGAGCAUCUUUGCCAAGAAACUCUUUCAGGAGAUAAUUUAAGGAAAAUGAGCACCAAAGAAUGGAAAUUACAGGAUUGAAUUCGCUUAAUUCAAAUGGAAAAAGUCUUCAUGGUUUCUACCCAGCAGUCAGAAUCCAAGACAACUCCUCAUUUUGUUGAAGAAUUGUCCAGAAAUGAAGAAGACUUUCCUGUCAGAGGGAGAUUUCUCUGCCAUGGAUCUCAUCUGGGUUCUGGAAACUACUGUUCCCCUGAGAAAAUGAAGGGAAUAUGGACCUCUCCAGGAGUCAAAUUUCUGUCUUUUGCAUACCUGCACUGAUUGGGCUUCCAAGGUGGGAGAUUUCUUACCUUCUCCUUUGGAUAGUAACAGCAGAGCAUUUGUUUGGUCCACCUUGCCCAGGGAGGAGGCUACCAUCAGCACUAGUGGGCAUGCAGGUUCAGAGAGAUGGGCAGGAUCUGCAUGAGCCUUGAACCAAGACUGCUGAACACAAUGUCAGUAGGUGUUUUGCUUGACUUUACACUCCAUGUUUGGGCAUGUUUGAAAGCAGGCAAGGCAGUUGACUGAAUGCAUUCAGAUCUCCAGCCCAGAGGAGAUGACAAUUUAAUUUUGAAUCACAGAAUCACAGAGUAACACAGAAUCACAGAACUGCAGCGGUUGGAAGGGACCUCAUGAAAACGAAUCCAGCUCCCCUGCUAAAGCAGGUACCCUACAGCACGUUGCAUAGGUAGGUGUCCAGAUGGAUCUUGAAUAUUCCCAUAGAAAGAGACCCCACAACCUCUCUGAGCAGCCUGUUCCCCUUACUGUAAAGAAGUUCUUCUGCAAGUUGGUACAGAACUUCCUAUGUUCAAGUUUUAGGUAAUUGUUCCUUGUCCUGUUGUUACACACCACUGAGAAUAGACUGGCCCCAUCCAUUUGCCUUUGACCUCCCUUUAGAUAUUUAUAAACAUUUAUCAGAUCUCUCCUCAGUCAUUUCACCAGGUGAACAGACCCAGGUUACUCAGACUUUCCUCAUAUGUGAGAUGGUCCAAGUCCUUUACCAUCUUUGUGGCCCUCCACCAGUCUCCUUCUAGGAGAUCGCUGUGUUUUUUGAACUGAGGAGCCCAGAACUGGACACAGUACUCCAGAUGUGGCAUCAUCAGGGCAGAGUAGAGGGGGAGGAUCACUUCUGUUGACCUGCUGGCCAUGCUGAUGACCAGCAGGAUGAGCUAAAAAAAAUAGGAGAUGAGGUUGCCCAUAGAUGCAACCCUCUUGGAGCUUCUCUAAAACAAGCCCAUCUGUUUGCUCAUAUUUACCCUGUCUGGAUGAUGCUACAGACUUUUUUGCAGCUAUCAUUUCCCAGUGUUGUUGAAUUCAGGGUGGAAAUAGUGGUGAGAACAUUUUCCUGGGACUCUUCCUCCCCUCUGAACUGAAAUGGAGCCCACCCCUGGCAAGAGAUGGGCAGGUGGAAGACAGCGUAAGUGUUGUGUGGAAAGGGACACUGACCUGCUCUGUCGUCUCUGAUGAAUUACUUCCACAAAGCAGCAACGUGGUUAUCUUUAACAAGAACUUUGUCCAGCACAGCGAGGCUUUGCUUCAGCUUCGCCACUGUGGAAUACUCUCAUAACUUUAAUUCAUAUCAGGGGUCGAUUGUGAGUUUAAAUAUAUGCAAUGCACUUUUAAGUCUUGUGCAAACAAAGACCAGACAGGGACUGGGACAAACUGAUGCAUGAGCAACCAUGUUGUUCCUUCUCCAGUCCAAGAACUGGAUUCUUUCACAAAAUCCUCUGUGUGGCAGUGAUAACAAGACAAAUAUUUGACAUAGCUGUAAGAUAACACUCUGACACACUAGUAAACACAAGUGAAUUAGUGGUUAUGAGAGAGACCCCAUGACACAGUUGCUUGCAGUAAGUUGGAUGCCAUCUCUUAGAAGACUUCUUGCAACCUGUUCUUAUCGGUUUUUGGUACAGAUUAAUGGGGAGUCUUCCAGUAGGAUUUGGGUUACUGUCUGGCAUAGACACUUUUGAAAAUCUUACCUUAUCUCUAUGUAAUGACUAUGUAAUUCAUGCAGUGUGUUGAAGGUACACUUGAAAAAGUAGGUCUGGAUCGUAAUAUCCCUCCCUGCAUCCUUCUUUCCCAUCAGGCCAAAAUGGCACACCUCUGUGUGUGCUGGAUUACAAUUUAUGCUGAAAAUGUUCCACAAAGGUCAUAGCAGCUAUCUGAGGAACAAGCAGAGCUGUGCACCCUGCCCUGUGCUCAUGUAGAUUACCAGAGGUAGCAAUAAGGCCAGGGACUGUGUGCAGUAAGGAAAACUAGAGAAACUUGGAAACUGCGCAGGCUUUAGAUUGUAGAGUGUUACCAAGGGCUCAGAUGGGAGAGUUUACCAGAAGAAGUGCAAUUUAGAAAUUGAAACAGAUGGAAUUUCAGUAUCCUUUGCAAAUUGGCGUAUCAGACUCCUACAAUAGCUUGCAGAAUCCUUGUCCCUCCCAGUGCAUAGCUGGUUCUUACUCCCUGAACUUGAUUUGUUAACAUCUGAUGUCGAAGGGUCUGUUUCUUAUUUUUGUUGAGUUAUACCUUAAAUGUGUCCUUUUUGGCUACUUAUGUUCUCAUUUCUGCAAAGCGGCAGCCAAGCAGGGGCCCAAGAGCUCAUUCCUGGCCUUCAGAUUUAUUCCCAUCGCUUUGAUGGGUUGAGUCUGGUGCUGCCUGUAUUGCAGAGCACCUGGAUGGGGCGAUCACAGGCAUUCACUGGCACUGUGAUCUCAGCUGUGGAAACAAUUCUGCUGGCAGCAGAAGCUCAGUUUCACUGGGGAGGGGCCCAUAUUUCUUGUUUGAAGUGUGUGAAGCCUCAUCACAGUUCUGUUAUCAGACCCACUGGAAUUUUUUCCUUUCCUCUCUUCUUGGUCCACCUUCUCUCAUUCCUCUAAAUCUUACUUUACUUCUGCUUCUUCUCAAAGUCCCUAAUGUUACUUUUCUGGCUCUUUUUUUCUGUAAUCUCUCCCUUCAUUUUUUCUUCACCCAUUAGCUCUUCCUUCACAAUGCUCCUCUACUGCCUCCUCCAUUUUCUCUGCCUCUCUUGUUCACUUUCCAGGUGCCUCUCAUUCUUCUCCCCAUGUCCUCACUUUCAUUUCUUCUCCAGAAGCUCUCUGAAUUGCUGCAGCUAUGGGGUAUACCCCUUGGAAAGAUAGCCCUGUCUGAGUUAGAGGUGCUGUGAGCUGCAGGUCUGUUGCUGAUGUUAGUAUUUUUUUUGACAAGUGACACAGGUGACACAAGUGACACAGGGGGCCCAUGGAGCCAAGUAGCGUAGCUGGGCAGUAGAAGGCAGCUUAUGCCACAAAAGACAUCACUUGCUCCAUGGACCAAAAGAGAUUACAGCCCCAUUCCGACACAUAAACCAUUGAGGUUUACUGAAAAUAAGGAUUGAUUUGCUGGGCUAUUUAGAGGCAUUAAGAUGCAGAUAUAUAUUUUCUCCCCAGUCUGAUGUCAUUUUGCAUGUUAACUGCCUAAUUCCUUUUAGCCUAUUGAUUUUACUGGUUUAUAAGAAUGACACUUGUGUAGAAACUGUGGAGAACUUUGCUCAGGGUGACCAGUGAAGACUGUCAGUUUCUCUCAGUCGUCUUAUGGGGGGACUGAAGGCUCAGCACAGUUUAAGAGGAGAAAAAAUAGGGAGAGAAAGAACAAUGGCACUUCAUAGACCAUACUCCUUAGGUUGUAUCUGACUCUGGCUAAAUGACCUGGACUGAAAAAUGUUUUCCUGAGGCUCAGCUCAGCUGACAUCUGCAGCAUGGUCCUCAUAUUUUGUGAUAGUCGAGAGUGGUAUUCAUGAAAUUCUGUGUCAACUUCUUUAGCAUAUUAAGAUUGAAGAAUGCUAUGAAGUAAGCAUGAAUAUCAUUAUUCAAUUUCUCUUCCUUCUAGUAACUCUGAUUUACUUCAGAUUUUACGUGAUCUCCCAAUUAUCAGAGUUUGAUGUGCCACAGGUGUUUCUAUAAGCAUACUGUUGUAUUGCUUUUCGUUCCUUGGAGAACAGUUGAUGCUUUGCCAAUGUCUGAAUGGACCUGCUAACUCUGAGAGCAAAGAAGUGGUUAAUUUGAUAAUAUUUAACUUGCCAAACCAUUCAUAUGCAGAGGUAACGUGCUCAGGAGUUGAACAGGGCAGUGCGAUCUCCCUUAGCUAUCAUUUCAGGAUGCCUGCAGAAUCAGGAAGGCCGUGUAUCAGCUUACACUCAACUUGGUAAUCUUGCAUGGGGCCUGUUUGUGUCUCUUGUGCUGAAGGCUGAAUGUAAAAUGAACAUUGUUAGCCAAGAAAGCAAAUAAAGGGAACUAUUUCCCAAGGCAUUUUACUCUGUUUAUUUAACGCCUCUGAACAAACCCCUUUCCACAUCCUCUGAACCUACUGGCAACUUCAGAUAGCUCCAUUUCCUGCUGGGUGAGUUUUUUCUAAAAUGUUUAUUCAGCUCCAGGAAAUGAUGAUUUCCUGAAUAUUCUGAAACUUCAUAUUUUUGUUGUAUCCCUGUUUAUUUAAUAGUCUUACUUAUUGUGUGAGUGUGCAAAGCACAACAACAUCCCUUGCCAUGUAACUGUGGAAGGAGUGGAACUUGAUGUAGUACAUCAAAAACCAGUUUAAGUGAAACUAGAUCUGUUUUUGCCAAUUUAUACACUAGUGUAUUUCCAUUAGCUUGAGUAGUUACUCCUUAUUUACACUGACCUUAAUGAGUUCGGAAGUAGGCUUUUAAAUUUCUCCUACUCCUUAAGAAAAAGUGCCUAAAAAUUCAAACUAGUGAAGGAGAAUUAAUUAGCCCAAAGCUCAACAUUUUAUAAUUCACAGCUUACAUUAAUGUCUGCUAGUUUUCUUUAUGCAGGAAACCAAUAGAAGGCACCAAAUGUUUUCGUCGCCCUCCACUGGGACUAAAAUUGAGAAAUUCUUAUUUUCUGAGGUCAAAGCUAACCUGUAUCCAGCACCCCAUCCCAACAUGGGUUUCACUAAAGAGAUUGAAACCUGUACACAGCCUUAAUGAAAAGGCCAUAAUAUUUUAUGUGAACCAGGAGUAACUAUGCUGAAAUGAGAAGUGCUUCACUAAGGUAAAUCAAGUGGGAUUGGUCCCAAAAGAAAUUCAGGAAUUACAUAGCUUUGCCAUUAACCUUGAACUGAGCCAAGUGUGUCUUCCAUGCUUUCUCCUUCUUUCUUGUCUACUUUUUGUUAACCUGCAUGGUCAGCUAUGACUUUUUUUUUUUUUCUUUUCUUUUUACAGGCAGAAAAGGUAAUUUAUGUUUCUUCUGAGCCUCAAGAGACAAUAUGGGCAUGCUGCGUUACCAUGCCCUAAAUGAAAUCUUAGAGUACCUAAGUAAAACUCACUCCACCCUUACCUGGAAGUUCCACUCAUGGAAACCACAUCCUUUCAUUGCCACCCACGUCUCCAUUCGGAAAGGACUUUGAAGGAGGAAGACUGAAGAUUAGAUCAUUCUUUUAUUAAGCAUCCUUUUGUCUGUUUUGCUCCAGAAACCAUGCUCUUCCUCUCCUAUGAGUCAUUUGUUGUUACUCUUACAACGUCUGUGGUAGGAAGGCUGGGUGCUUUCCCCCAAUUUAAAAUGUUCUUUUUAGAGUCUCUUCUCUUCUCUUCUCUUCUCUUCUCUUCUCUUCUCUUCUCUUCUCUUCUCUUCUCUUCUCUUCUCUUCUCUUCUCUUCUCUUCUCUUCUCUUCUCUUCUCUUCUCUUCUCUUCUCUUCUCUUCUCUUCUCUUCUCUUCUCUUCUCUUCUCUUCUCUUCUCUUCUCUUCUCUUCUCUUCUCUUCUCUUCUCUUCUCUUUUUCUUCCCUUCCCUUCCCUUCCACUCCCUUCCCUUCUCCCUUUCCUCUCCUCUCCCUUUCUCCUCCCCUCCCCUCCCCUCUCCUCCCUUCCUUCCUUCCAUGUCCCUUCUUUGUUUUUUGUUAUGCAUUUCAUAUUCAUUCACUAUUUUUACCCAAUUCAGACAGAGCCAUGCUACAUUGUGGACUAUUGCCAAAAAUUCUGCCAGUGACAAAGAUUGAAGCCUUCAUACGAACUGGAAGGAGUCUGUUCUUGGUCCACCCCAUGUGAAGCAACACUGUGCCCAUGCAUCUCUAUCUGAGAUGAAUAUUCUUUCUUUUGAUGCCAAGUAUUUGAUGUCCACCUACUGAGCUGAGUAAUCUCUGAGGAUGCCAUUGUUGCCAUGUUACCUCCUUCCUGAGUUCCUGUUGUGUAACUUUCCCACCAAGACUUCUCUCCUGACAACACUAACCCUAUGGAUAGUCCCUCCCAUGCUGUCUGUGAUCAUCCUACCAGGCCCUGCUGCCAGAUCCAAGCUUGCAAAUGGAAACAAGGUCUACAGUCUCGGUGAGGAAGCUGGCAUGGUGGGGUGUGUUAAGGCCCACAACAUAUUACAUGAUGAUGGAUUGAUGGGACCACAUCAAGGGGCCCUGAGAGCAAUGUGGCUCUUUGGGUAAGAGGAGAUGGCAGAAUCAGAGGAACAUCGUUAGUUAACCCACCCACAGUGCGGGAGAGACCUCAAAACCAACAAACAAUAGGUUAGAAGCUCACAGCUGGAGGUGGCAGCCCCAUAAUAACACCAGUGACAAAAAUCAAAGGAAUAAGAAGGAGCAGUUAACAUUUCCUCCACAAAUGCUAAAAACAGCACCAAAUAAUGUGUAUGAAUCAUCAUAUCUACUCUUACGCAAGCUGGAAUAAAAAUGUAAGAGUCAUGCAAACUGGGAUAAACUGUCACGCUCUGAGACAUAAUGCAUCUCCAGAAGUAAAGAAGAAACUGUUCCACAGGCAAGACUUGGCAUAAUUACACUCUGUGCGGGAUUUUGCACCUUUCUUUAAAGUAUCUGUGCUAACAACUGCCAGAGAUGACGUACCAAGCUGCAGAAGGCGUUUGGCUAACCUGCAGUGGCAGUGCCUAUCUCACUACUGGUUUAAUUCUGUCCCCCUUCCACUUUUUCACUACACACCCAUGCUACGAGACUGUAUGACAAAUGCCACUCAAAGGCAAGAGGUACACAUCCAGUAUUAGGUUUGUAAGGCAAUUAAAUUGUCCUUUUAAUGUUCUCUUAAUCACUGUGGUUUCUGUAGCGCCAUAUUAGAUACAUGUUGAAAUGAUGUCUUACUUCCACUGAUUAUACCAGUGUCCUUGUCUUUAAUGCAUUCACACUUCUGAAAGUUACUGCUCUUUUUGUCUUGUCUCCAGCUACAAUAUUCAGAAGACUAUGUUCUUAAAAGCAGCAAUUAGCACAUUGCAGUGGUACAGACGUCAACUAAUCCCCAUGGUGAUGAGAUCCCAAAGGCAAAGCAUGUGCUAACAAUCUGAACAAUACCAGGGAGCAUUUCUGGGCAUUGGGACUCAGUCAUCUAUAUUGCUAAAUUACCAGGAUCCCUCCAGGCACAUUUUCAGCCCAUCCUGACCACCAAUGUCAAACAGUCCCCAGUAUUGGAGUCAGCUUGGGACACUGACCAUUCCCCUCAAGCAGUUCGGAUGUGAUCACCCUCCCCUGGAGAGUUUCACAGUGCAGAUGAAAUGCAUCCCAUUCUGUGCCCAGGGGGCCUCCCUUCCAGAGGACAGCAAUAGAUGCAGUUAAUACAGUAAUGUUGAUAGCUGAGGUUCUCCCAUCUCAUAUUCACUUCUUGCUUUCAUUCCCUGUACUCAUGAAAUUCUUACUCUCGUCUGCCUUCUCUUCUGCUUUAUCACAUAGCGUGGUGUGAUGCCCAUGACUUAAGCAAGGAUAGCCAUCAUUCUUCGUGCUCCCCCAUAAGCAAGGUGUUUAGGGCUGCAGGACUCAGAGGAUGCCCUGGGUUCUGGAUUUUCUUAUGUUUAGAAUCCCUUUCCUCAGAGCCAGGAACUACAGUGAUUUAGCAAACAGUGUGAUAUCUAAUAGCUAGCAAGCUGAGAGGUAUGGAACAGCCAACGGGGAAAGCCCUGCAAAAGAACAGAGUGAAUCCCAGAGCCACAGCUGGGUGCCUAUGGCUGCUACCUUUGGUGAAAACUGAUGGUGCCUGUCAUUUUGGGGGAUUAGGUUCUUGAACUAGCCCUGUCUUAGAGACUGUUAGGUAUAGAGGCAGGCCAGUAAAUGAUUUCUGGUUUCAGGAGUGGCUGGGGGGAUUAGUAUACACAUGUGUUUACAGCCUUGCAGUGGCAAUAGGUUGCCUAAAUGUUCUGUGGAUCAAACUACACAUCAGCCAGUGCUGAGAUUUACAGGGCUUCCUUGCAGUUCAGCUUAUUAUGGCCCAUGGUGCCUCACCACAGUUCUCCUGGCAAGUGUCUUAGCACGAAGAGCCAGACCAAGGUCAGGAUACUUCCAAAUUCAUCAAAAAGGGACUGAAAUUAACCACAGGCAGUGCAGGGCACUAUGUUGUCCCCAUGCAGCAGUAUCACAUUCCCCGUUGGGUCCCAUGUGUCAUCCAGAGCUGCUUGAUGUGCUGUGUUAUAAGCACAGGCUUUCUCUAUCCGAACCACACCAUAUGGGUGCCUCAUUCCUUUUACAUGCGGCUGCAGGUUUCCUGCUGCAUAUGCUCAGCCUCCCACAGCUGGAAGCAGUAAGAGGUAGUUUGAUCUACAUGUUAUACUCAGGAAGGAUUGAAGUUUGCAAAUUUUUAGCACUCUGCACGCUAGCAGGCCCAUAAUAAUCUUUAUUGGCGGGUUUGUUUGCUUUAUGGUUGCAAUUUUCAUCCUUCGAUGAGAAGCUUCCAGCACUUCCUGCAGGAGCAGAAGGCUAUUGUCACUUUAUCACUUCACAGUUGCAGAUCUCUGUCCACCACUCACUGGUCUGUGGUAAACAACAUCUCCAGCGUUGCUUCUGUCCGUCAAGGGAAAGGGUUGAGCUGGCAUUUUGCCACAUUUGGCAAGUGUGGGCUGAUACAAACGAUACGAGGUUUUUUUUAUAGUGCCUAUCACCAGAGUAUCAAAGCGCUGAAACACUGCUAGUCGUGUUUGCCUCCCCAUUGAUCUUAUCACCAAAGGCCAGUCCUACCAUCCGUCUUCCAUGUGGUAUUGCUUAGAGGCUUCGUUUUGUCAGAUAGGCUGCUCUGCAUCCAGUGCUGGGGUAGGCUCUAACUCUGGGAUCUGGUUCCAGGCUUUAAUUAGGACUGAUGGCAAAUGGGCUGUUCACAAAUGCUUUUUGCAAGAUGACUCCUGCACAGUCAGAAGCUCUCUUAAAUUCAUUUGUCUCAUGUAGUGAACUUUUCAUUGCUUUAAGAGGCCUACGGAUGCUGCAGGUGUUAAAACUGAGGUCAAAGUAUUCUACAUCAGGUGGAACCCACAUAGGCAACAUCCUAGAAACUAAUUUGUAAUAAGUCUGUGAUGUUCAGAACGAGAUGGUUCUGCCAAUCUGAGCUGACUGACUGUUUGUUCAUGAUCUAUAUAAUAGUUGCAUUAGACCUUUUAAAUUUCAAUAUAUUUUUAUGCUUUGGCACUCUCCAGACACAUUGAAAUAAAUCUUGUGCAUUUCUGCAUGUUGCAGCAACUGGGUAAGUGCUACUGUGGUCAGUUUUAAUAGGUAUUAAUACAGUAAGUAGCAAGCAAAUUAUAACUGUUUCACAUUAGACGUAAUUUUACAGCAGACAAUUUUAUAAGGAGAAUGGAAUGAAUCAAAUACAGUAGUUUGUAUUAAAAUAUCUUUUACAUUCCCUGUGUUCCAGUGGAACUGAUGACAAGUCUAAGGAAGCAUGCUAGGACAAACAGACCAGAAAAUUAAAUUCUUCUAGCUUUCAUAUGCCACAGCAGGAAUAAUUUGGCUUUUUUUUUUCUUUCUUUCUCAGCCUUUCUUUCAAUUUUCUUUUUUGGAGAGAGGAUGACAAUGUAGUAUUACAUUUCCAAAUCCUAUAAAAAACCAUACAUUUUCAGUUUCAUACAACUAUGGUCUGGUUUAGUUCCUCUGGAUGGACUCUAAUGUGGUAUUCGUGAUAAUGUCAUUUACUUUGCAUGUGAAUAAAGCCAAAUGGUUACACACAAGGCUUGAAUCUCAUAGCUCUGGAUCUUUGGGAAAUGUUUAUUCUCUCAAUUAAGCAUAUAUAUAUUUGCCAGAUGUACAAGGUCUCACAGCGUUUUUAUGUACACCCCAUGCUAAAAGAGUCUGUGCUCAAGCUCUAGAUCCCACUGAAUGCAGAGCACUUCAACAUGUGGGUGUCUUUGCACUGAGGCAUUGGCUGCUUUGAUCUCAGUGUUCUUCGUGAGUCAGGAGAUCACUGUGAAGGCUCUGAGGGACUUCGUGUCUGCUGGCAUCAGUGGGGCAUCCAGAUCAGAUCUUCCUUAGUAAGAUGGGAGCUUAUUCAGCCUGAUUUUCACUGUCCAAAGGUGGAGUGCCUUGCCUCGACUAGCUAUGAUCAAUAUGGACAGAGACACACCUAUCAGGGAGCCAUUUAUUUCAUGCUUAUGUAUGAGAUAAUCAGUCUUAUUCAAGACCAGUGGGAGAACUGGCUCCUGUCUGUAUAUCACCUGUAAGGAGAGCCCAAACAACAGGCUUGGCUAGGUGACUACCAUUCAGAUAGCUGUGCUAUAGGGCCAAGAUACAGACAGGCUGCCACCUGGGUGGAGACAACCAUCUACAUGUGAUGCAUGUGGUGAUGGAAGUCACCAUGUUCUCAAGCCCUUUCUUUACCUUGGAGCAGACACAGCACUGGUCAUAAAUCAGCAGUAAAUAAAAUGCUAAAACUUAACAAGUUGAAAAGAAUAAUCAACUCAUGCUUACAUAGGAGUUACAUGAAAACUUCCUAAAAAUAUUUGCGUUAUGAAUCUGUCUAUCCCUGGUCUAGAGAGGUUCCAGCAGUC
Molecule: long non-coding RNA, 10901 nt
Filed under: Gallus gallus (chicken)
Lineage: Eukaryota; Metazoa; Chordata; Aves; Galliformes; Phasianidae
Description: lncRNA (ENSGALG00010004523.1)
Source: RNAcentral